Molecule: ribosomal RNA, 497 nt
Filed under: uncultured bacterium
Lineage: Bacteria
Description: partial 16S ribosomal RNA
Rfam family: Bacterial small subunit ribosomal RNA
Source: RNAcentral
GAUGAACGCUGGCGGCGUGCCUAAUACAUGCAAGUAGAACGCUGAAGCUUGGUGCUUGCACCGAGCGGAUGAGUUGCGAACGGGUGAGUAACGCGUAGGUAACCUGCCUCUUAGCGGGGGAUAACUAUUGGAAACGAUAGCUAAUACCGCAUAAAAGUCGAUAUCGCAUGAUAUUGAUUUGAAAGGUGCAAAUGCAUCACUAAGAGAUGGACCUGCGUUGUAUUAGCUAGUUGGUGAGGUAACGGCUCACCAAGGCGACGAUACAUAGCCGACCUGAGAGGGUGAUCGGCCACACUGGGACUGAGACACGGCCCAGACUCCUACGGGAGGCAGCAGUAGGGAAUCUUCGGCAAGGGGGGCAACCCUGACCGAGCAACGCCGCGUGAGUGAAGAAGGUUGUCGGAUCGUAAAGCUCUGUUGUAAGAGAAGAACGAGUGUGAGAGUGGAAAGUUCACACUGUGACGGUAACUUACCAGAAAGGGACGGCUAACUACGUG